This is a small nuclear RNA of Tupaia belangeri (northern tree shrew), 107 nucleotides long. Lineage: Eukaryota; Metazoa; Chordata; Mammalia; Scandentia; Tupaiidae. The record is from Ensembl.
CUGCUUGCUUCAGCAGCAUGUAUACUAAAAUUGGGACCAUACAGAGAAGAUUCGCAUGGCCCUUGCACAAGGAUAAAUCACAAAUUCAUGAAGUGUUCCAUAUUUUU